GAUGAACGCUGGCGGCGUGCCUAAUACAUGCAAGUCGAGCGAACAGACGAGGAGCUUGCUCCUCUGACGUUAGCGGCGGACGGGUGAGUAACACGUGGAUAACCUACCUAUAAGACUGGGAUAACUUCGGGAAACCGGAGCUAAUACCGGAUAAUAUAUUGAACCGCAAGGUUCAAUAGUGAAAGACGGUUUUGCUGUCACUUAUAGAUGGAUCCGCGCCGCAUUAGCUAGUUGGUAAGGUAACGGCUUACCAAGGCAACGAUGCGUAGCCGACCUGAGAGGGUGAUCGGCCACACUGGAACUGAGACACGGUCCAGACUCCUACGGGAGGCAGCAGUAGGGAAUCUUCCGCAAUGGGCGAAAGCUUGACGGAGCAACGCCGCGUGAGUGAUGAAGGUCUUCGGAUCGUAAAACUCUGUUAUUAGGGAAGAACAAAUGUGUAAGUAACUAUGCACGUCUUGACGGUACCUAAUCAGAAAGCCACGGCUAACUACGUG
Molecule: ribosomal RNA, 497 nt
Filed under: uncultured bacterium
Lineage: Bacteria
Description: partial 16S ribosomal RNA
Rfam family: Bacterial small subunit ribosomal RNA
Source: RNAcentral